Molecule: long non-coding RNA, 1680 nt
Filed under: Capra hircus (goat)
Lineage: Eukaryota; Metazoa; Chordata; Mammalia; Artiodactyla; Bovidae
Description: lncRNA (ENSCHIG00010010595.1)
Source: RNAcentral
AUUCUGAAAGAGAUGGGAAUACCAGACCACCUAACCUGCCUCUUGAGAACAACACAAGCCCCUCUGAAAUGUCUCAGAAACUUUCAGACCUCGGCAGAGUAAGGAGUGGAUUAUAUGGACAUGAGGGACCCCUGUGGGUGCUUUGUUACCCUUCUGUCCUUUGCACAUGAUAAAUGUUUAGUGGUGAUUGAGAACAAUAAAGAGAAUCUCUAUGUGGCUUAGACUGGAAUCACAGAGGAAUUCGCAGAAGGAAAGGCCCAAGAGUUAGGGGAAAGUGGAGAAGGCUUGGUUCAGAAGGUGUCACUUCUGAUGCUUUGGGGAGCUGACCCAACAGUGGGUUUGGCUGUUGUCACUGGGUUGAGAGAAGCACCCAUGAGGACAGUACUGGUCCAACGAGCCAGCAACAAACCAGCCAGCUCUGCACCUCAUUAGAAUCAGUACUUGUUACUUUGGGGACCUCUGGAGGAUACCUGGGUGUUAUUGGGGAGGGUGGUCAGAAAGAGAUCAUGUGGCUGUCACAGAAGAAAGAGGAUCAAUGAGUCCAUUUUGGAGUGGAGCAGGUGACUUCUGGUCCAGGAGCAGGUGGUCUGGACUGGACCAAAGAGGAGGGAAUUGCCGAGAGCCUGUGUGUUCAGAGGCAAUGGGAUUCAGCCACAGAGAGGUCAACUUGCCCGUUGCCUAGGAAAGGGCACCUUGGAUGCCUCUCAGUUGGAAGAUAUUAUCUCCAGAUGGAAUCCUCUGCCUGCUGGCAAAGUCAGCAGCAUGAUUUGGGACAAUAGUGAUGAAGAUGGUGAAUCUUGGAAAGGACUUAGGAGCCAAAGAAUGAGCCAGGCGUGGGUUUGUGCCCAACACCAUGUGUCCUGGCUGGAGCAUCCAGGCCGAAGCUUGAUUUACAUUCAGGCUGCAUCCCUGAUUGGUGAAGCUGGACUUGCUUGUCGUCCUGAUGAGUCUGGUGAGAGCUCCCGACGAGGGGUGACAAUGAACGGGAAAACGCUGCAGAGGGCAGGGAUGGGAGGGGAAGGCUUGGGGAAUUAUCCAGGGGUUUCGUGUCAGGCAUUUGCCUGUUCAUCUUCUCCAUUUGGGCAACAACAACUUAAGCAAAGCAAGCAAAGAGGUUCACGUAAUUUUAGUGACCCCUGACAAAACUCGCGCAUCUCUGCUGGGAAGUGUGUGCUUUUCUUCCAUGCGGCAUUUGUUUUAAGUAUUUAGCUUCCCCACACAGUUGCAAGUUCAUCUAGCCAUUUUCUCUCUCGCUCUCUCCUUUUCUCUCUCUCUCCCUCAUGAAAUCACUUUAGUCAGCACAAAUUUGGAGGCAGAACCAAACCCAGUAAUAGCAUAUCUCAGACCGCUAUCAAUUUUCCGCCAGAAGAACGUUUCGGGACACAAAGUCCUUUGUCUAUUUCCAGAAGCUCGAUUCAAUGACAUUACAUGAAUGACUACAGCGCUAUAGCAUGUUCUGCACCGUUUCAAAUUGUAACCUAAAAAAAGGGAAGAACUUGGAUCGCAGCCAGAGUGUAAUGAUUUCAGUUCUUAAGAAAAUCCAGCAACCAUUACAGCACAUUCAAUAUUUUCUUGCUGUGGAAAUUUAAGAAUUGACUCUAAUCAAAUAGCAACCCCACCACCCCCAUCCUCCAUUUUCCUAUGGUUCCUGUUACUAAUAGGCCUCCCACGUCUGUUUUG